GUGCCAGCCGCCGCGGUAAUACCGGCAGCCCAAGUGAUGGCCGCUGUUAUUGGGCCUAAAGCGUCCGUAGCUGGCCGCGCAAGUCCGUCGGGAAAUCCAUCAGCCCAACUGAUGGGCGUCCGGCGGAAACUGCACGGCUUGGGACCGGAAGACUCGAGAGGUACGUCCGGGGUAGGAGUGAAAUCCCGUAAUCCCGAACGGACCACCGAUGGCGAAAGCACUUCGAGAAAACGGAUCCGACAGUGAGGGACGAAAGCUAAGAUCGCGAACCGGAUUAGAUACCCGGGUAGUCC
This 293-nucleotide ribosomal RNA is filed under the name uncultured bacterium. Its description in RNAcentral is "partial 16S ribosomal RNA". It matches the Rfam family "Archaeal small subunit ribosomal RNA", at positions 455 to 747 of the family's 1478-position model. The record is from RNAcentral.